RNAcentral lists this long non-coding RNA (506 nucleotides) under Brassica napus (rape). RNAcentral's name for it is "long non-coding RNA (BNAP_LNC021149)". The record is from RNAcentral. Lineage: Eukaryota; Viridiplantae; Streptophyta; Magnoliopsida; Brassicales; Brassicaceae.
CACACAAUUCCAUUUAUAUUAUUAUCUAUAUUGUGCUAACAUCAAUAAUCAAAAAUAUACUUUAUUUGAACCUGUAUUUGUUUGAUUAUGGAUAUCUCGUUGGGUGAAGAGAUGAAACAUGUGGUCGUCUACUUAUCUCCCUUACUUAUCAAACUAAUUUUACGCAAACCUUUAUUUUUCAGCUUAAAAGAAACCACAAUAACCCAAACAAUCAAAACACCAAAAACUAGAAUUCCAAAAAAGACAAAUCAUUAAUGAUCACCUCUCUUUUUUGGUCUAAUAUUAGAAAUAAACUUCCAAACAAAUAUACAAAACCAAUCACCUCAACUAAAACUCAACGACACAUAAAUCGAGUCAGCUAAACAAAUACAAACUACACAGCCAACUAUUUAACAAUUUACAAACUUACUUUCGCAACGACACAUACAUCGAGUCAGCUAAACAAAUACAAACUACACGACCAGCUAUUUAACAAUUUACAAACUUACUUUCGCAACGAAGAAGAC